GCUCAGUUGGUAGAGCAUGGUGUUUGCAACGCCAGGGUUGUGGGUUCGUUUCCCAC
Molecule: non-coding RNA, 56 nt
Organism: Salmo salar (Atlantic salmon)
Lineage: Eukaryota; Metazoa; Chordata; Actinopteri; Salmoniformes; Salmonidae
Source: Rfam